Molecule: ribosomal RNA, 734 nt
Filed under: Acinetobacter radioresistens WC-A-157
Lineage: Bacteria; Pseudomonadati; Pseudomonadota; Gammaproteobacteria; Moraxellales; Moraxellaceae
Description: bacterial SSU rRNA
Rfam family: Bacterial small subunit ribosomal RNA
Source: RNAcentral
AUUGAACGCUGGCGGCAGGCUUAACACAUGCAAGUCGAGCGGAUGAAAGUAGCUUGCUACUGGAUUCAGCGGCGGACGGGUGAGUAAUGCUUAGGAAUCUGCCUAUUAGUGGGGGACAACGUUCCGAAAGGAGCGCUAAUACCGCAUACGUCCUACGGGAGAAAGCAGGGGACCUUCGGGCCUUGCGCUAAUAGAUGAGCCUAAGUCGGAUUAGCUAGUUGGUAGGGUAAAGGCCUACCAAGGCGACGAUCUGUAGCGGGUCUGAGAGGAUGAUCCGCCACACUGGGACUGAGACACGGCCCAGACUCCUACGGGAGGCAGCAGUGGGGAAUAUUGGACAAUGGGGGGAACCCUGAUCCAGCCAUGCCGCGUGUGUGAAGAAGGCCUUUUGGUUGUAAAGCACUUUAAGCGAGGAGGAGGCUACCUAGAUUAAUACUUUAGGAUAGUGGACGUUACUCGCAGAAUAAGCACCGGCUAACUCUGUGCCAGCAGCCGCGGUAAUACAGAGGGUGCGAGCGUUAAUCGGAUUUACUGGGCGUAAAGCGUGCGUAGGCGGCCAAUUAAGUCAAAUGUGAAAUCCCCGAGCUUAACUUGGGAAUUGCAUUCGAUACCGGUUGGCUUGAGUAUGGGAGAGGAUGGUAGAAUUCCAGGUGUAGCGGUGAAAUGCGUAGAGAUCUGGAGGAAUACCGAUGGCGAAGGCAGCCAUCUGGCCUAAUACUGACGCUGAGGUACGA